Molecule: ribosomal RNA, 2575 nt
Filed under: Listeria monocytogenes
Lineage: Bacteria; Bacillati; Bacillota; Bacilli; Caryophanales; Listeriaceae
Description: partial 23S ribosomal RNA
Rfam family: Bacterial large subunit ribosomal RNA
Source: RNAcentral
GCCAAAGACGGUAACAGCCCGGUAGUUGAAAUGGCUUUCCCUCCAGAGUGGAUCCUGAGUACGGCGGAACACGUGAAAUUCCGUCGGAAUCCGGGAGGACCAUCUCCCAAGGCUAAAUACUCCCUAGUGACCGAUAGUGAACCAGUACCGUGAGGGAAAGGUGAAAAGCACCCCGGAAGGGGAGUGAAACAGUUCCUGAAACCGUGUGCCUACAAGUAGUUAGAGCCCGUUAAUGGGUGAUAGCGUGCCUUUUGUAGAAUGAACCGGCGAGUUACGAUUUGUUGCAAGGUUAAGCGGAAAAAGCGGAGCCGUAGCGAAAGCGAGUCUGAAUAGGGCGCAUAAGUAACAGGUCGUAGACCCGAAACCAGGUGAUCUACCCAUGUCCAGGAUGAAGGUAAGGUAAUACUUACUGGAGGUCCGAACCCACGCACGUUGAAAAGUGCGGGGAUGAGGUGUGGGUAGCGGAGAAAUUCCAAUCGAACUUGGAGAUAGCUGGUUCUCUCCGAAAUAGCUUUAGGGCUAGCCUCGAGGUAAAGAGUCAUGGAGGUAGAGCACUGUUUGGACUAGGGGCCCUUCUCGGGUUACCGAAUUCAGAUAAACUCCGAAUGCCAUGUACUUAUACUCGGGAGUCAGACUGCGAGUGAUAAGAUCCGUAGUCGAAAGGGAAACAGCCCAGACCACCAGUUAAGGUCCCCAAAUAUAUGUUAAGUGGAAAAGGAUGUGGGGUUGCUUAGACAACCAGGAUGUUGGCUUAGAAGCAGCCACCAUUGAAAGAGUGCGUAAUAGCUCACUGGUCGAGUGACCCCGCGCCGAAAAUGUACCGGGGCUAAACAUAUUACCGAAACUGUGGAUGAACCUCUUUAGAGGUUCGUGGUAGGAGAGCGUUCUAAGGGCGGUGAAGUCAGACCGGAAGGACUGGUGGAGCGCUUAGAAGUGAGAAUGCCGGUAUGAGUAGCGAAAGAAGGGUGAGAAUCCCUUCCACCGAAUAUCUAAGGUUUCCUGAGGAAGGCUCGUCCGCUCAGGGUUAGUCGGGACCUAAGCCGAGGCCGAUAGGCGUAGGCGAUGGACAACAGGUAGAGAUUCCUGUACCAGUGCUAAUUGUUUAACCGAUGGGGUGACACAGAAGGAUAGGGAAUCGCACGAAUGGAAAUGUGCGUCCAAGCAGUGAGUGUGAGAAGUAGGCAAAUCCGCUUCUCGCGAAGCAUGAGCUGUGAUGGGGAAGGAAAUUAAGUACGGAAGUUCCUGAUUUCACGCUGUCAAGAAAAGCCUCUAGGAAGAGUAGUACUGCCCGUACCGCAAACCGACACAGGUAGAUGAGGAGAGAAUCCUAAGGUGAGCGAGAGAACUCUCGUUAAGGAACUCGGCAAAAUGACCCCGUAACUUCGGGAGAAGGGGUGCUCUAUUAGGGUGCAAGCCCGAGAGAGCCGCAGUGAAUAGGCCCAGGCGACUGUUUAGCAAAAACACAGGUCUCUGCAAAACCGUAAGGUGACGUAUAGGGGCUGACGCCUGCCCGGUGCUGGAAGGUUAAGAGGAGUGCUUAGCUUCGGCGAAGGUACGAAUUGAAGCCCCAGUAAACGGCGGCCGUAACUAUAACGGUCCUAAGGUAGCGAAAUUCCUUGUCGGGUAAGUUCCGACCCGCACGAAAGGCGCAACGAUCUGGGCACUGUCUCAACGAGAGACUCGGUGAAAUUAUAGUACCUGUGAAGAUGCAGGUUACCCGCGACAGGACGGAAAGACCCCGUGGAGCUUUACUGCAACCUGAUAUGGAAUGUUUGUACCGCUUGUACAGGAUAGGUAGGAGCCGAAGAGACGUGUGCGCUAGCAUACGAGGAGGCAAUGGUGGGAUACUACCCUGGCUGUAUGACCAUUCUAACCCGCCACGCUUAGCGCGUGGGGAGACAGUGUCAGGUGGGCAGUUUGACUGGGGCGGUCGCCUCCUAAAGAGUAACGGAGGCGCCCAAAGGUUCCCUCAGAAUGGAUGGAAAUCAUUCGCAGAGUGUAAAGGCACAAGGGAGCUUGACUGCGAGACUGACAAGUCGAGCAGGGACGAAAGUCGGGCUUAGUGAUCCGGUGGUUCCGCAUGGAAGGGCCAUCGCUCAACGGAUAAAAGCUACCCCGGGGAUAACAGGCUUAUCUCCCCCAAGAGUCCACAUCGACGGGGAGGUUUGGCACCUCGAUGUCGGCUCGUCGCAUCCUGGGGCUGUAGUCGGUCCCAAGGGUUGGGCUGUUCGCCCAUUAAAGCGGCACGCGAGCUGGGUUCAGAACGUCGUGAGACAGUUCGGUCCCUAUCCGUCGCGGGCGCAGGAAAUUUGAGAGGAGCUGUCCUUAGUACGAGAGGACCGGGAUGGACACACCGCUGGUGUACCAGUUGUUCCGCCAGGAGCAUCGCUGGGUAGCUAUGUGUGGCAGGGAUAAACGCUGAAAGCAUCUAAGCGUGAAGCCCCCCUCAAGAUGAGAUUUCCCAUUUCUUCGGAAAGUAAGAUCCCUGAAAGAUGAUCAGGUAGAUAGGUUUGGAGUGGAAGUGUAGCGAUACAUGGAGCGGACAAAUACUAAUCGAUCGAGGACUUAACCAAAA